Long non-coding RNA from Anolis carolinensis (green anole), 1499 nucleotides. RefSeq lists it as uncharacterized. Lineage: Eukaryota; Metazoa; Chordata; Lepidosauria; Squamata; Anolidae. The record is from RefSeq and is a predicted model, not a curated record. The transcript is spliced from 2 exons.
GAAGCCACUCUGCUUAUUUCCUUCCUCUGGAUUAAAAUCUGUAGCUAGGAUAAACCAACAUCUCCUUUGUGUAAGAUAAAGGUAAAGGUUUCCCCCUGACAUUAAGUUUAGUCGUGUCUGACUCUGGAGGUUGAUGCUCAUCUCCAUUUCUAAGCCAAAGAGCCAUCUUUGUCCGUAGACGCCUCCAAGGUCAUGUAGCCGGCAUGACUGCAUGGAGCGCCGUUACCUUGCCGCCAGAGUGGUACCUAUUGAUCUGCUUACAUUUGUGUGUUUUCGAACUGCUAGGUUGGAAGAAGGUGGGGCUAACAGCAGGAGCUCAGCCCGCUUCCUGGAUUCGAACCGUCAACCUUUCAGUUUAAUCUGCUGCACUACCAGGGGCUCCCAAAUCAAGUGUAACCCCAAGUUAAACACACAGAUGUCACCAACAGGAUCCAGAGACCAGGCUGGGGAAAAUGGAAGGAAAAAGGAAGAGGGACCAACCAAGGGCAAGAUGGAUGGAUGGUAUCCUUGAAGAGACUGGCUUGUCCUUGAAGGAGCUGGGGUGGUGAAGGCCGAAGGCCGACAAGGAGCUCUGGCGUGGACUGGUCCAUGAGGUCACGAAGAGUCGGAAGCGACUGACUGAAUAAAUAAACAACAAUAAAGGAGACCAGGUUGGGGAGCAAUGGAUUCGAAUUGCAGGAAAAGAGAUUCCACCUAAACAUUAGGAAGUUUCCUGAUAGUAAGAGCUGUUCAACAGUGGAAUAUGCUGCCUCGAAAGGUGGUAGAGUCUCCUUCUCUGGAGGUUUUUAAGAAGAGGCUGGAUGGCCAUUUGUCAGAAGUGCUUUGGUUGUGUGUUCCUGCAUGGGAAGGAGCUAGACUACCUGGCAAUAACUCGCUGUUCUCUCAUGUUUUAAACAGGUGUCGUCCCUCCCCAGCUAUACCUGGAGAUACCAGGGACUGAACUUCAGAAAAAGCUUGUGUUCUUCUACUGAGCUACUGCCCUUGCCUUAAGACUCUUAACAGUUUUCUUUUGAAAUGCAAGACGUUCUUUGCACUGCCUGAAAUAACUUUGCCCAGGGCCUUUCACAGGUUUCUCCCCAGAGCUCUCCAAAUCUGCCUCCUUCCCCUCCUCCCCACCACCACCACAAAGAUUCCUGCUGUUUUUAUGCAGACCCUGGCAAUUUUAUACAAAGCCCUGCUGUUGAUAUGACCUUCCAAAAAUGUUACAAUUGAUGUGAAUUACCUAAUAGUGCACUGUGGCUCCAAUACUCAAUGGGAGCAAAGCAUAGUUAAGCAGGUGAUUUGGACUUUAGAAAAAUGCUAUUAUGUCGUUGCUGUGCGGGAGUGCUGCCUCUUCAUCUUCCUUUUAGCCGCAGGACUUUCUCGUCUGUUGUCUGUUCUUUAAAGAUGCAUACAUAACUUUUACAGUAGGAGUUGCAGCUGAAAGAAAUGCUUUUCCCAAGCUCUGUACCACUUUCCUAAACCAUCUUGUCAGAACAUCAUAAAAGUAUUGCGAAGGA